AAAAAAAAGAGAGAGAUCCUGGACAAGGGGCUCCUCCUUUGGAGCAAAAUCAGGGUCUUGUCAAGGACAGAGGGACCUCUCAUUGCCUGCCCAGCGGGAUUCAUCACUGUGAUGGACCACCAACUCCUGGGUGUCUUUCAUUGGUUCCUCUCUGAAGAGAACUCUUCAUUGCAAUUUGCUAGCCCUGCUUCACGGUUGUGAAUUAGGGGAGGCAUGCCAAGGAAGAGCAGAGCAAGAAAAAGAAAUUCACUCUGAGAUACAGCGUACGAUCAAAGACAAUGAGAACAUUCCUAAAAGCUGCAAGAAUAAAGACUGAUGGCCUUUAGAAGAGGAACAGGAAGAUUGGCAGCUGACAUGGCAGCAGCAUCAAUAUGCUCUGUGAAGAAAUUCACUUUACCACUUAUAACUUUAAGACUUUGCAUACAUUACAACGGUGCAUUAGUGAUACAAGCCGUAAAAUCCUUUUCCAUUCCUUUGGAUUUUGCAUGUGAUGGUUCUGCUUCAGUCACUGCAGUUAGCUAAAAAAUUGCCUGGCAGCCCACCGAACAGGAUUUGCUUUAAGACCAGCCCACAGAGUCAGUUGGAGACUGAGGGCACUGGGACAAGCUGGGCCGGCCGUAGUAGCAUAUGUCUCUUCUGUGUGGCUUCUUUCUCUUAGCAUAAUGCUUUUGUGAUUCAUCGGUGUUGGUGAAUGUAUCAGUAAUUCGUGCUUUUUUAUAGUUAAGUAUAGAUAUAACACAAUUUAUAUAUCCAUUCACCCACUGAUUCAUUUGGGUGCUUCCAGCCCUUGGCAAUUAUGAAUAAAGUUGCUACAGACGUUUUCAUACAGGUCUUUGUAUGAACACGUUUUCAUUUCCCUUGGGUGAAUACCUAGG
This is a non-coding RNA of Delphinapterus leucas (beluga whale), 875 nucleotides long. The record is from RefSeq and is a predicted model, not a curated record. NCBI's taxonomy places the organism in Eukaryota, Metazoa, Chordata, Mammalia, Artiodactyla, Monodontidae.